RNAcentral lists this long non-coding RNA (1836 nucleotides) under Vulpes vulpes (red fox). Its description in RNAcentral is "lncRNA (ENSVVUG00000001810.1)". The record is from RNAcentral. Lineage: Eukaryota; Metazoa; Chordata; Mammalia; Carnivora; Canidae.
AUGACAUUUUUUUCCAAAAUUAGACCCAUUGGUGAAUCACUGAGUUCUCCAGGGUCCUCUUCAGACAGCCCCAGUUCCAGGCAGUUCCCUGUGGGCGGAGGGACAGUUGAGCUGCUGGAAGAAUCAAAGCUGAAGAAAGAGUUUCAAUGCCUGAUACCGUUCAAAUGUUCUGUGACCAAGUUUCUUUACCUGGGGACUCCCAUAACACGAAGAUUUGGGCAGCAGCUCCUGGUCUUCCAAAUGGAAUUCUGUUAGGUGACUCAGGACAACUCAGGGCCUGUGGGGACUUAGGUCAAUGGCCCUCCCUGUGGAGGACGCGCUAUCACUACCUAACAUCAACCUAUAGCCUUUGAACAACAUCCUAUGGUUUACAGGGGCUUGGACGUGCGUUGGUUUAUCUGUCUGCCUACGAGAUAUCUACAGUUAAGCUUAUUCCAGUCAUUUAUAUAAAGAGGGGAGUAGUUUGGAAUUCUAUUUCUCUAUUUGCAUGGGUGAAUAAGAAACAAAAUUCGUUCGAACGAAUUUUGAGACGAAGAAGGAGACGUUUACAUACCAAGAGAAACUGAAAGAAGAGCAUUGAGCCGCCCCAUGUCCCCCAGAACACCUGCCAACAAUAGGCAGAGUGUCCAGCUGCCCAGACACUGUGUCCAGGGGCGGUGCCUGUCCUGUUCACAAUGGCCUCGCCUGAAAACCGCAGUUAAAAUGCAAAUGGGGGGGACAGACCCGAGCCUCAAAGCCUCACAUCUCUGAGUCUAAAAGACAUCCUGUCAGAGGCUUCUGUUCCGAUUGCAAAUGCCCCCCUUUUGUUCCUCAAGGCCCGUGAGACAGCUGUAAGUAAUUCCUCCCCGGACAAAUUGGCUUUCCUCUUCCCACCACAAAAGCCCACGUCGGGUUUAAAGAGCAAAGCUCAGGUUUUGUUCAAGGCCCUUAACGAAGGUUAAGGUUAACCAGCGGCACAAGGGGUGUCCCAGGGAACCCCACCCACCCCAUGGGCCUUAGGAGAGGCUGCAGCUGCAGUUUUAGCUCACACUCUCCCCGACUCAGAGGUUCCCAUUAAUCUCUUUGUUUUAGCUUUGUGAGUCCGGUGACCAGUGUUCCAAGAAUUUGGAUAUUUCCAAGACACCACUCAAUAGGUCAGAGGAAUGGUGUCAGCUGUUGGCUGACCAUUUAAGAACCCCAACUUUGCUGGUAUCUGCUAAUUUCUGAGCAUGCGACUUCUACUCUGAGGGGUCGAAGAACUUUACUCCAGGGGGUGUAAUGUCCGUGGCCCUCGCCCCAAGGGCCGAGUCCAGGAGUCAAGCUCCAAGGCCCUCCUGUUUCUGUGAGGCUGGAUAGUCUGGGGCUGGCCAAGCCUGGCACGUCAGGUCACCGUGACACUCUAGAGCAGGAGCUGGGACCGCUGGCCAAGGCCAGGGGGCUGCUGUACUGGGUGGUCAUCAGACCCCGGGCCCCCGGGCUGGGGACCUUCUUCAGGGACUGUAGGGGCCCUGCACGAAUCUUUGACCCCCUGCCCUGGGGUCACCUUCUGCAAUACAUACUGUUCACCUUCACGGCCAAGACCCUUCCAGGAAAUUUGGAAGGAAAUUGGCUUCAGUGGAACAGCAGCCUGUGACCUAAAAGCCAUUGACUCCACAAGAUACAAGCCGAAAACACAAUUCUUUUCUCUGGAAGCAGGAAGUAAAUUCUCAAGAGACCCUAUUAUUUUCUGAUGACUGCCUCUUUGGAAACAGUACAACUUGGGUUUUUUCGUGUAAGAAACAUGAAUAGUGUCUUUGGUUUGCUGAACUUCCAUUAAAACUCAAUAAAACACCACGAUGGGAAACUGCCUAUGGCUUU